This 330-nucleotide ribosomal RNA is filed under the name Fibrobacter succinogenes. Its description in RNAcentral is "bacterial SSU rRNA". It matches the Rfam family "Bacterial small subunit ribosomal RNA", at positions 1 to 339 of the family's 1533-position model. The record is from RNAcentral. Lineage: Bacteria; Pseudomonadati; Fibrobacterota; Fibrobacteria; Fibrobacterales; Fibrobacteraceae.
AGUAGUUUGAUCCUGGCUCAGAACGAACGCUGGUGGCGUGUCUUAUACAUGCAAGUCGAGGCGGUGCAGCAAUGCAUAGCGGCGGAACGGGUGAGUAACGCGUAAGCAAUCUCGCCCCCUCGGCCCGGGAAUAGCCGUGCCAACGCGGCGGGUAAUACCGGAUAUCGUGGCGCUCCUCAGUGGGGCGUUGAACAAAAGUAUUUAUCGGCGAGGGGAUGAGCUUGCGUCCGAUUAGCUAGUUGGCGGGGCAACGGCCCACCAAGGCGACGAUCGGUAGCCGGCCUGAGAGGGUGAUCGGCCACAUUGGGACUGAGAUACGGCCCAGACUCC